This 301-nucleotide ribosomal RNA is filed under the name uncultured bacterium. RNAcentral describes it as "partial 16S ribosomal RNA". It matches the Rfam family "Bacterial small subunit ribosomal RNA", at positions 509 to 807 of the family's 1533-position model. The record is from RNAcentral.
CAGUCGCCGCGGGAAUACGAAGGGUGCAAGCGUUAAUCGGAAUUACUGGGCGUAAAGCGUGCGUAGGCGGUUUGUUAAGUCUGCUGUGAAAUCCCCGGGCUCAACCUGGGAAUGGCAGUGGAUACUGGCAAGCUAGAGUGUGUCAGAGGAUGGUGGAAUUCCCGGUGUAGCGGUGAAAUGCGUAGAGAUCGGGAGGAACAUCAGUGGCGAAGGCGGCCAUCUGGGACAACACUGACGCUGAGGCACGAAAGCGUGGGGAGCAAACAGGAUUAGAUACCCGAGUAGUCCCUGUCUCUUAUAC